This 223-nucleotide unclassified non-coding RNA is filed under the name uncultured fungus. RNAcentral describes it as "sequence contains ITS1". The stretch from base 1 to 117 matches the Rfam family "5.8S ribosomal RNA", at positions 49 to 154 of the family's 154-position model. Rfam says of the family: 5.8S ribosomal RNA (5.8S rRNA) is a component of the large subunit of the eukaryotic ribosome. It is transcribed by RNA polymerase I as part of the 45S precursor that also contains 18S and 28S rRNA. The record is from RNAcentral. Lineage: Eukaryota; Fungi.
UGAAAGGCGAAACGUAAUGUGAAUCGCAACUAACAGUGAAUCAUCGAAUCUUUGAACGCAGGCCGCGCUUAGUGAUAUCACCUCGUGGUAUCACUAUGCAUCUACGUAUGAGUGUCAGCCCAAUAUCCUUUUGGUUCAUGAGGAACAUUAUCCUCUUGAAUAUCACUUUGUGGUUAAUGAUACUGUCUGGCCUCAUAUGUGGAAGGUUACCCGCUGGAUUUAA